UCGUCAAUGACAAGCUGUUCCAAUCACACAGCUCGGACACCAAGCGGACCGGACAACGGACAGCCCAGGCCUCCUCCCUCUGACUGGGAGGAAGCCAACUGAGCACGUCUGGGGAAGUGAUCCCCCACCGCAAGCCCCCCACUCACCCUCCAUAUUUGAUCUGACAGCAGUGCUCUAUCCUGGCCGGUAGCCUUCCCUGCAACCAGCUCGCACAACUCUGACCAACUACCCUCGUGGCCUUCAGGUGAGGCACUGCUCUCUCUCCUGUCCCAAAGCACAAGGAAACCCCAAACCAAGCAGGAGACCACCGGCGCACCACUUCUCCAGAGGACCAGACAGAGUGAGCUGAAAACCAAGUACUCACUGUGGUGAAGUCUUGGUGGCCGCACUCCUGCCCUUUGAACUUGCAGUAGAGCAUCAUAUCCUUCAGGUCAUGGCCCACACGGUGCAGGAACUCCAGCAUGCUGAACUGCUUGGGUUUGUAGUGCUUGAAGUUGGCCUUCUGCCGCAGGGCCUCCAGCACGGAGGGGUCAGCCAGAUGGGGGUCCGGGAUCUGCAGGUUGACAUCCAGCAGGGCCAGCAGCUCCCCAGCAUGGUACAGGUCAUUGGUGGUGAGCCUGGAGAACCGGAAGCCAUUCAGGUUACAGAGGGUCACAGCUGGGAAGACCAGGCUUUGAGCCACCACUUCGUCCACCUUAGUGACAUGCUGGUAGGAGAAGUAGUAGGACACCCUCUCAGAGCUCUCCACCAGCAGCAGGCCCAGAGAGCCCACGAAGGCCACUGCCCACAGCACACGCCGGAUGGUCAGCGGCCCAUACACGAAGAUGUGGCGGAUGCCAUGGAGGGUGGAGGUGUUGGCAAAGAUCUGGAUGCUAGAAGGUUGCAGGCUGCCCUCACUGGGGCUUUCCUUGAGGUCCAUCGGGACCCCGUGCAGUUCCGCAACUGGCUUCAGGUUGAUCGAAUUUCAGAGAAGAGCUCCCAGUCCUCGGGCUCUGCUUAAACCUUGACGUUCAGGGGAGAGAACGCAAGGCAAGCAUCGCGCCAGAUGCUGUGAGUUUAUCCUGAGAGCCCAGCCGCACGCUGACAGGGCUCCAGGCCCUCUCCUACAGGAAGACUUCCUGGAUUAAUCUGCUAAUCUUCAGCUCAUCCACCUGUUUAAUAGGCAAAACCUACAGAACUAGUCCACACUGAGUGGACCUCUGGGGCUCCCAGCUGCCGAUUGACCUGAACCCCAGAGUGAACUCGUGUUGCUUUGUGGCUUCAGGAAACCUUGGAACAUCUCUGUGCUGUUUUUUCAUUUGUGCUCAAUCAUUCCUGAGGCCUCCUCCUCCUGCUGCAAUUUGACAAGACUUGACCAAAUCAUUAACUCCCAGUUAAUGGGAUAAAAUGAGUUUGAAUCUGGGAUUCUGGUCAUUAACCCCAUGUCACCAUCUGCUCCAGCAGUUUGAUGGCAGGGCUAGGUGAAUUCUAAUCACCCAACACUUGUUAAACUGCUGAUUCCUGCUUCCCCACCUCUGCUGACUCAGCAUCUCUGGGGUGGGGCCUGCAAAGGCUCUCUUCCUUGACGGGGUUAUUGAGGGCAGCUCUAGGAACCCACCCAGGACCAGACCUGAUGAGGAGUUCCUCCUAUGCAUCAGGUAUGCUGGGUCGGUUUGCGGAGUUUCAUAACUUGCAUUUUCCUCUGCCUGGAGAGUUCCUUGCAGCUGGCUUCUUCUGUGUCACGGCCCCACAGAGAUCUUGGCUGGUCUCCCUAUCUCCACCCUCCACCAUGCUCACUAUUCCAUUACAAGUUUCCUUUUCUACCCAGUACUAAUCAUUUUCUGCAAUUCAUCUCAUUUCCUUGUGAACUAUCUGUUGGUCCUACCAGAAUGUAAGUCUCCACCUGGGGGCAGAGACCCUGCCUGGCUUGUUAGAAGCCAUAUCCCCAGGAUUGAAGC
RNAcentral lists this long non-coding RNA (1937 nucleotides) under Homo sapiens (human). Its description in RNAcentral is "novel transcript". The record is from RNAcentral. Lineage: Eukaryota; Metazoa; Chordata; Mammalia; Primates; Hominidae.